AACGAACGCUGGCGGCGCGUCUUAAACAUGCAAGUCGAACGAUCUGUAGCAAUACAGGGAGUGGCGGACGGGUGAGGAACACGUAGGAAUCUACCUCGAAGAGCGGGACAACUUUGGGAAACCGGGGCUAAUACCGCAUAGUACAGAGAUGUUAAAGGGCUAGCAAUAGUCGCUUCGAGAUGAGCCUGCGGUCUAUCAGCUUGUUGGUGAGGUAAUGGCUCACCAAGGCUACGACGGAUAGCCGGUCUGAGAGGAUGAUCGGCCACACUGGCACUGAGACACGGGCCAGACUCCUACGGGAGGCAGCAGUUAAGAAUCUUGCGCAAUGGGGGCAACCCUGACGCAGCGACGCCGCGUGAAGGAUGAAGGCUUUCGGGUUGUAAACUUCGGUAGACUGGGAAGAAGAACUACGUUCGUUGAGGGCGUAGAGUGACGGUACCAGUCUGAAGCCCCGGCUAAUUACGUGCCAGCAGCCGCGGUAAU
RNAcentral lists this ribosomal RNA (483 nucleotides) under uncultured bacterium. Its description in RNAcentral is "bacterial SSU rRNA". It matches the Rfam family "Bacterial small subunit ribosomal RNA", at positions 29 to 524 of the family's 1533-position model. The record is from RNAcentral.